AGACAGGUGGUGCAUGGUUGUCGUCAGCUCGUGUCGUGAGAUGUUGGGUUAAGUCCCGCAACGAGCGCAACCCCUACGUUUAGUUGCUAACAGGUGAAGCUGAGCACUCUAGACGAACUGCCGUUGACAAAACGGAGGAAGGUGGGAUGACGUCAAAUCAUCAUGCCCCUUAUGUUCUGGGCUACACACGUGCUACAAUGGCCGGUACAGACGGAGGCGAAGCCGCGAGGCGGAGCAAAUCCGAAAAAGCCGGUCUCAGUUCGGAUUGCAGGCUGCAAUUCGCCUGCAUGAAGUCGGAAUCGCUAGUAAUCGCAGGUCAGCAUACUGCGGUGAAUACGUUCCCGGGCCUU
This 350-nucleotide ribosomal RNA is filed under the name uncultured Pelotomaculum sp. RNAcentral describes it as "bacterial SSU rRNA". It matches the Rfam family "Bacterial small subunit ribosomal RNA", at positions 1032 to 1382 of the family's 1533-position model. The record is from RNAcentral. Lineage: Bacteria; Bacillati; Bacillota; Clostridia; Eubacteriales; Desulfotomaculaceae.